Molecule: ribosomal RNA, 497 nt
Filed under: uncultured bacterium
Lineage: Bacteria
Description: partial 16S ribosomal RNA
Rfam family: Bacterial small subunit ribosomal RNA
Source: RNAcentral
GAUGAACGCUGGCGGCGUGCCUAAUACAUGCAAGUCGAGCGAACAGACGAGGAGCUUGCUCCUCUGACGUUAGCGGCGGACGGGUGAGUAACACGUGGAUAACCUACCUAUAAGACUGGGAUAACUUCGGGAAACCGGAGCUAAUACCGGAUAAUAUAUUGAACCGCAUGGUUCAAUAGUGAAAGACGGUUUUGCUGUCACUUAUAGAUGGAUCCGCGCCGCAUUAGCUAGUUGGUAAAGUAACGGCUUACCAAGGCAACGAUGCGUAGCCGACCUGAGAGGGUGAUCGGCCACACUGGAACUGAGACACGGUCCAGACUCCUACGGGAGGCAGCAGUAGGGAAUCUUCCGCAAUGGGCGAAAGCCUGACGGAGCGACGCCGCGUGAGUGAUGAAGGUCUUCGGAUCGUAAAACUCUGUUAUUAGGGAAGAACAAAUGUGUAAGUAACUAUGCACGUCUUGACGGUACCUAAUCAGAAAGCCACGGCUAACUACGUG